GGAGAGAUGGCCGAGUGGCUGAUGGCACCUGCCUGCUAAGCAGGUGACGGGGCUUAUACCCCGUUCGCGGGUUCGAAUCCCGCUCUCUCCGCCA
Molecule: transfer RNA, 94 nt
Filed under: bacterium
Lineage: Bacteria
Also listed under: 1 other name
Description: tRNA-Ser
Rfam family: tRNA
About the family: Transfer RNA (tRNA) molecules are approximately 80 nucleotides in length. Their secondary structure includes four short double-helical elements and three loops (D, anti-codon, and T loops).
Source: RNAcentral